GUUGAGGACGGCGCUCGAGUCGCUGUCCGAAGACCCGUCCUUGCAGAUCAGAGGCGGUGGCUCCUGCGGGGCCGUGGCUUUUUGCUCGGCAUCGGACGCCACCGGAUCCUCCUUGCCGAGGCAGAAGCUUAGACUCCCGUCCUCGGCCAACUUGGCCCUCAGCUCCUUGAUCUGUACCACCGCAGAAUCGGAUCCAUGUACGAGCAAUUCGACUUAAACUUGGAUCAAGCUCGGUAGCUCACCUCUGCGAGCAGGGACUCCUUGUCACGGCGGAGGGCAUCGCAGUCGAGGCGGAGCUGGUCGUAGCUGGCCUUGAGGGCCGCGUAGUCGUGCUCCAGCUGCUUGGUCUUCCACCGGGCCCGGCGGUUCUGGAACCAGACGGCCACCUGCCGGGGCUGGAGGCCGAGCUCCUGCGCCAGCCUCA
RNAcentral lists this long non-coding RNA (424 nucleotides) under Musa acuminata (dwarf banana). Its description in RNAcentral is "long non-coding RNA (MACU_LNC006204)". The record is from RNAcentral. Lineage: Eukaryota; Viridiplantae; Streptophyta; Magnoliopsida; Zingiberales; Musaceae.